CCGUUCGCCGAAAGACCAAGGGUUCCAGUCCAACGUUAAUCGGGGCUGGGUGAGUCGACCCCUAAGGCGAGGCCGAAAGGCGUAGUCGAUGGGAAAUUGGUUAAUAUUCCAAUACUUCUGUGUAAUGCGAUGAGAGGACGGAGAAGGUUAGGUCAGCCUGGCGUUGGUUGUCCAGGUGGAAGACAGUAGGCAUGCAUCUUAGGCAAAUCCGGGGUGCUCUAUGCUGAGAGUCGAUAGCAAGCCAGUUUACUGGCGAAGUGGCCGAUACCAUACUUCCAAGAAAAGUCUCUAAGCUUCAGUUACACAGGAAUCGUACCCGAAACCGACACAGGUGGUCAGGUCGAGUAGACCAAGGCGCUUGAGAGAACUCUGCUGGAGGAACUAGGCAAAAUGGUACCGUAACUUCGGGAGAAGGUACGCUGCUGAUGGUGAUAGGACUUGCUCCUUGAGCUGUCGGCAGCCGCAGAAACCAGGCCGCUGCAACUGUUUAUUAAAAACAUAGCACUCUGCAAACACGAAAGUGGACGUAUAGGGUGUGAUGCCUGCCCGGUGCUGGAAGGUUAAUUGAUGGGGUUAGCGUAAGCGAAGCUCUUGAUCGAAGCCCCAGUAAACGGCGGCCGUAACUAUAACGGUCCUAAGGUAGCGAAAUUCCUUGUCGGGUAAGUUCCGACCUGCACGAAUGGCAUAAUGAUGGCGGCGCUGUCUCCAGCAGAGGCUCAGUGAAAUCGAAAUCGCUGUGAAGAUGCAGUGUACCCGCGGCUAGACGGAAAGACCCCGUGAACCUUUACUGCAGCUUGACACUGAACUUUGACCUUACUUGUGUAGGAUAGGUGGGAGGCUUUGAAGUAGGGACGCCAGUUCCUAUGGAGCCAUCCUUGAAAUACCACCCUGGUAAUGUUGAGGUUCUAACUCUGACCCAUAAUCUGGGUCGAGGACCGUGUCUGGUGGGUAGUUUGACUGGGGCGGUCUCCUCCUAAAGAGUAACGGAGGAGUACGAAGGUGCGCUCAGCGUGGUCGGAAAUCACGCGUAGAGUAUAAAGGCAAAAGCGCGCUUAACUGCGAGACCCACAAGUCGAGCAGGUACGAAAGUAGGUCUUAGUGAUCCGGUGGUUCUGUAUGGAAGGGCCAUCGCUCAACGGAUAAAAGGUACUCUGGGGAUAACAGGCUGAUACCGCCCAAGAGUUCAUAUCGACGGCGGUGUUUGGCACCUCGAUGUCGGCUCAUCUCAUCCUGGGGCUGAAGCAGGUCCCAAGGGUAUGGCUGUUCGCCAUUUAAAGAGGUACGCGAGCUGGGUUUAGAACGUCGUGAGACAGUUCGGUCCCUAUCUACCGUGGGCGCUGGAAAUUUGAGAGGAUCUGCUCCUAGUACGAGAGGACCAGAGUGGACGAACCUCUGGUGUACCGGUUGUGACGCCAGUCGCAUCGCCGGGUAGCUAUGUUCGGAAGGGAUAACCGCUGAAAGCAUCUAAGCGGGAAGCCUACCUCAAGAUAAGAUUUCCCCGUGACUUUAUGUCACCUAAAGAGCCGUUCAAGACCAGGACGUUGAUAGGUUGGAUGUGGAAGCAUAGUGAUAUGUGAAGCUGACCAAUACUAAUUGCUCGUGAGGCUUGACUAU
This 1614-nucleotide ribosomal RNA is filed under the name Acinetobacter radioresistens WC-A-157. RNAcentral's name for it is "bacterial LSU rRNA". It matches the Rfam family "Bacterial large subunit ribosomal RNA", at positions 1330 to 2925 of the family's 2925-position model. The record is from RNAcentral. Lineage: Bacteria; Pseudomonadati; Pseudomonadota; Gammaproteobacteria; Moraxellales; Moraxellaceae.